RNAcentral lists this transfer RNA (65 nucleotides) under Cordylochernes scorpioides. RNAcentral describes it as "tRNA-OTHER". It matches the Rfam family "tRNA". Rfam says of the family: Transfer RNA (tRNA) molecules are approximately 80 nucleotides in length. Their secondary structure includes four short double-helical elements and three loops (D, anti-codon, and T loops). Lineage: Eukaryota; Metazoa; Arthropoda; Arachnida; Pseudoscorpiones; Chernetidae. The record is from RNAcentral.
CCAUCGGUGGUUCAGUGGUAGAAUGCUCGCCUGCCCAGGCCCGGGUUCGAUUCCCGGCCGAUGCA